Molecule: ribosomal RNA, 407 nt
Filed under: uncultured bacterium
Lineage: Bacteria
Description: bacterial SSU rRNA
Rfam family: Bacterial small subunit ribosomal RNA
Source: RNAcentral
UUAGGAAUUUUGCGCAAUGGGCGAAAGCCUGACGCAGCAACGCCGCGUGAGGGAAGACGGCUUUCGGGUUGUAAACCUCUUUUAGCAGGGACGAACACAAUGACGGUACCUGCAGAAAAAGCACCGGCUAACUACGUGCCAGCAGCCGCGGUAAUACGUAGGGUGCAAGCGUUAUUCGGAUUUAUUGGGCGUAAAGCGCAUGUAGGCGGUUCGGUAAGUCUGGUGUGAAAGCCCUCGACUCAAUCGAGGAAGUGCAUUGGAUACUGUCGAACUGGAGUACAGGAGGGGUGAGCGGAAUUCCAGGUGUAGAGGUGAAAUUCGUAGAUAUCUGGAGGAACAACAGCGGCGAAGGCGGCUCACUGGACUGUAACUGACGCUCAGAUGCGAUAGUGUGGGGAGCAAACAGG